RNAcentral lists this ribosomal RNA (450 nucleotides) under uncultured bacterium. RNAcentral's name for it is "partial 16S ribosomal RNA". It matches the Rfam family "Bacterial small subunit ribosomal RNA", at positions 354 to 796 of the family's 1533-position model. The record is from RNAcentral.
GUAAGGAGUUUUCGGCAAUGGGGGGAACCCUGACCGAGCAACGCCGCGUGAGUGAUGACGGCCCUAUGGGUUGUAAAGCUCUGUUAUAAGGGACGAACAGCUUUGCUAGGAAAUGAGCAGAGUCUGACGGUACUUUAUCAGAAAGCCACGGCUAACUACGUGCCAGCAGCCGCGGUAAUACGUAGGUGGCAAGCGUUAUCCGGAAUUAUUGGGCGUAAAGAGUGAGCAGGCGGCAGAUUAAGUUUGAGGUUAAAGCGUGGGGCUCAACCCCAUAAAGCCUUGAAAACUGAUCAGCUAGAGUACGAGAGAUGUGAAGGGAACUCCAUGUGUAGCGGUGAAAUGCGUAGAUAUAUGGAAGAACACCAGUGGCGAAGGCGCUUCACAAGCUCGAAACUGACGCUCAGUCACGAAAGCGUGGGUAGCAAAUAGGAUUAGAUACCCCGGUAGUCC